GGGACUGUGGCUUAGUGGUAGAGUGCUUCCCUUGCAUGUAUGAAGCCCAGGGUUCGAUUCCUCAGUACCA
This 70-nucleotide transfer RNA is filed under the name Dipodomys ordii (Ord's kangaroo rat). It matches the Rfam family "tRNA". Rfam says of the family: Transfer RNA (tRNA) molecules are approximately 80 nucleotides in length. Their secondary structure includes four short double-helical elements and three loops (D, anti-codon, and T loops). Further hydrogen bonds mediate the characteristic L-shaped molecular structure. tRNAs have two regions of fundamental functional importance: the anti-codon, which is responsible for specific mRNA codon recognition, and the 3' end, to which the tRNAs corresponding amino acid is attached (by aminoacyl-tRNA synthetases). tRNAs cope with the degeneracy of the genetic code in two manners: having more than one tRNA (with a specific anti-codon) for a particular amino acid; and 'wobble' base-pairing, i.e. permitting non-standard base-pairing at the 3rd anti-codon position. Lineage: Eukaryota; Metazoa; Chordata; Mammalia; Rodentia; Heteromyidae. The record is from Rfam by way of RNAcentral.